UUUUGAAGAAAAGUUCUCAUCAAUUUUCCAUUUUUCCUUCUUCAAUUUACAGAGAACAUUUAAGAGAGAGUUUGGAAGGAAGAAGAAGAGGAAUUUUACUAGAGUUUUGAGGUUGAAGAAGAGGAGAACUCAAGCAAAGUGUAUCCAUGGCUGAAUCUUGGUUCAUUCUGCACAUCACUUGUUUUUAAUUCGAUUAGAACUCUUCAAAAGGAAUUAAGAGGGCAGUUUGUUUUCACCCGAAAUCAGAAGGACUCUGGGUUUUCUUGUAUUUCAGAGUGUACUGGUGGAGUUAGGAUCUCUAUUUGGUUUGGUUUGAAAGCUUAUUCAAUUUACUACAACUUUCAUGAAGUAAUCGUGAACCAAAAACGACUAAAAAAAGUUAAAUUGUAGGGACAAGUUAAAGAGGUCGUGUGCGCGCGAUUCUUGAAGUUGUUCUGUUUCGAGGGUUAUCUGAGUUUAUUCACAGGGAAUCAGAUUUACAUGUCUUCAGGCCGAGAAGAAUUAAACCGAGCUUAUAGACCAAUGAUCUAGUCCAAGACUGUAAAGAUCGAGUUCCUGGUGCCUGAUAGACUGCCUUAGUCUGCUGAAGCUCCGUUAUCGAUUGUCAGUACGUGUUUUGAGUUGGGCAUAGAGUCUGUUGUGUUAUGAUGUAUAUACACCCUUGUAUGUUAUAGAUACUCCACAGUUUGUAUAAGCUUCAGGAGCUGCGGUCUGUAAAUUUUUGUUGGUUAUAUUUUGAUUAAGGUGUCUUUAGGUUUACUCGUGAAAUCAGUUAAUUCCGAGGUACACUUCAUGUAUGUGUUUGACUAGCCUAGGAUCCACUAUGUUUUAUUGCAUGUAUAAUAGUUUAUAUACUAGAUUGGCAAGUUCAUCAAAUUAAAGUUUUAAAUAGAGUCGAUAGAUACAGGUAAAGUAAAGCAUUGUUAGUCGGCUUCACGCCAUCUUUCGGUCUAAGCUAACAGGUAGUCUGGGAGGGGGUGUGACAAGCGCAGAACGCUAAUGCUAAAUUUGCAGAUGUUGAAGAUUUGUUUAACCAUGAAGUAAAGUAUCCGACUUCAAGCGUCUGACAACUCUUAUCUAACCUAAAGCUCCACAUAAUGGAGCAGAGGCUCAAAGAUCAUUGAAUAAAGAGCGGAUUUUCAGGGAGGAGGAGAGUAAGAAAGUCCCAUGUAGCGGUAGGCUAGUUUGAUUCUUUCCUAAAGAUUAUCCAGGAGUGUAGGCUCGAUUCUUAAUACGAAAGGACAUUUGUAAAGAAGACCAAAGUAUGUGCCCAUCAAGAGGACUCAUUCAAUUCCACACUAAAGAGGCGAUACCGAGUAGCUUUACCGUAGAUGAGACACCCUGCUGGGCAAAACAAUGCCUUUAAACUUCGACGUAAAUAUAGAGGCAUUAAAAUGCAAUUCGUUCUUGAAGUUGAUGAAGGGUAGACUUAUUAAGCUAUAUAGGACCAUGAUAUCCACUGAAAGUAUCAAAAUCAAAGGUAUAAGGAAGAAGAAGAAGAUUCAAAUAAGACUGCUCUGCUACUUGAAUCGUCUGAAGUCCUUCGAUCAUUCUUUUUCAACUUCUAUGGACCAUCUGUUAGGAUCAAAGAGGUUUUGAGGACCUGAGCGGAGGACUCAUGAAAUACCUUCCUUAUCAAUGAGACUUUUUAUUCAAUGAUUGUCUAGUUCCAUCUUUGACUUAUUGGAUCAAAUGGAAAGCUCUCAUAUUUUUCUAGUGGAAUGAAUGAAAGAACGAACGAAUGUAGGAACU
Molecule: long non-coding RNA, 1752 nt
Organism: Cucumis melo (muskmelon)
Lineage: Eukaryota; Viridiplantae; Streptophyta; Magnoliopsida; Cucurbitales; Cucurbitaceae
Exons: 5
Source: RefSeq, a predicted model, not a curated record